GCCCUAGAGAUAGUAAGAGUUGCGACACUCCCAUAGGGUGCCGUUGUACGCUUUCUUUCGGUCUACUUCCGGGUUGUGGAGGCUUGUUUAGUUCCAAGCACCGCUUCUACAGUGAUAUCCACCGUUCAUUUGCACUGCAGGUUGUUGAGUAUAUGUGGAGUAUCCCGAGAGCCCUCACUGAAGACAUGAAGACCCUCAUCAAAGAGUACUAAGCCAGGAAUUAGAGGCUUACAGAUGCACAACACAUUUUAAAUCAUUUUCAUCCCUCAUGGUUGCUGCUGCUGGUGCCUGCUGUUAUUCAUCUACUUUAUAGUGUCCAGGACACACAUGAAGAGGAUGUCUACCCACACACAAGUCAUUUGAUUAUUUUUUUAUUAUUUCAAAAAUAAUUGUAAAAAAUAACAUGAUGUUGUUUCUCCCAUUGUCAAUAAAACAUACUAUUUCAUUCAUCAAAGCAUAAUGAGUUGUUAUUCUUGAAUAUAUAUUUUGUGUAUGUCUUAAAAUGGUUAUAGUGAGUCAACUCCUGCCUGGACACUAUCUGCUGAAUGGACUGUUGUUACUCUGCUUUUCAAUAACUCCCAGACUACGGGUAAGUGAAUCAGAGAAAUAUAGACAUUGUCUG
Molecule: long non-coding RNA, 622 nt
Organism: Acanthochromis polyacanthus (spiny chromis)
Lineage: Eukaryota; Metazoa; Chordata; Actinopteri; Pomacentridae
Exons: 3
Source: RefSeq, a predicted model, not a curated record